GAUGAACGCUGGCGGCGUGCCUAAUACAUGCAAGUCGAGCGAACAGACGAGGAGCUUGCUCCUCUGACGUUAGCGGCGGACGGGUGAGUAACACGUGGAUAACCUACCUAUAAGACUGGGAUAACUUCGGGAAACCGGAGCUAAUACCGGAUAAUAUAUUGAACCGCAUGGUUCAAUAGUGAAAGACGGUUUUGCUGUCACUUAUAGAUGGAUCCGCGCCGCAUUAGCUAGUUGGUAAGGUAACGGCUUACCAAGGCAACGAUGCGUAGCCGACCUGAGAGGGUGAUCGGCCACACUGGAACUGAGACACGGUCCAGACUCCUACGGGAGGCAGCAGUAGGGAAUCUUCCGCAAUGGGCGAAAGCCUGACGGAGCGACGCCGCGUGAGUGAUGAAGGUCUUCGGAUCGUAAAACUCUGUUAUUAGGGAAGAAUAAAUGUGUAAGUAACUAUGCACGUCUUGACGGUACCUAAUCAGAAAGCCACGGCUAACUACGUG
RNAcentral lists this ribosomal RNA (497 nucleotides) under uncultured bacterium. RNAcentral's name for it is "partial 16S ribosomal RNA". It matches the Rfam family "Bacterial small subunit ribosomal RNA", at positions 28 to 507 of the family's 1533-position model. The record is from RNAcentral.